This 465-nucleotide ribosomal RNA is filed under the name Vreelandella stevensii. RNAcentral's name for it is "partial 16S ribosomal RNA". It matches the Rfam family "Bacterial small subunit ribosomal RNA", at positions 338 to 795 of the family's 1533-position model. The record is from RNAcentral. Lineage: Bacteria; Pseudomonadati; Pseudomonadota; Gammaproteobacteria; Oceanospirillales; Halomonadaceae.
CCUACAGGUGGCUGCAGUGGGGAAUAUUGGACAAUGGGGGCAACCCUGAUCCAGCCAUGCCGCGUGUGUGAAGAAGGCCCUCGGGUUGUAAAGCACUUUCAGUGAGGAAGAACGCCUGGUGGUUAAUACCCAUCAGGAAAGACAUCACUCACAGAAGAAGCACCGGCUAACUCCGUGCCAGCAGCCGCGGUAAUACGGAGGGUGCGAGCGUUAAUCGGAAUUACUGGGCGUAAAGCGCGCGUAGGUGGCUUGAUAAGCCGGUUGUGAAAGCCCCGGGCUCAACCUGGGAACGGCAUCCGGAACUGUCAAGCUAGAGUGCAGGAGAGGAAGGUAGAAUUCCCGGUGUAGCGGUGAAAUGCGUAGAGAUCGGGAGGAAUACCAGUGGCGAAGGCGGCCUUCUGGACUGACACUGACACUGAGGUGCGAAAGCGUGGGUAGCAAACAGGAUUAGAUACCCGAGUAGUC